AACCCCCUGCCGUGUCCGUGAUGGGGUUGGUUUCCUUGAACCAACAGAGAAUGAACGGGAGCCCUUAUACUUGCGUGGUGUGCACGCCCCGAGCCUGGCAAAGGGGUAUACCCUGAGCCCGUCGAAGGGAAGCCUAAAGCGCAUGCAGGGCCCCCACCUGCAAGGGCAGGUUCACGAGGAAACCAUCACACGGCACCGAGGUGGGGGGUUU
This 211-nucleotide non-coding RNA is filed under the name Candidatus Methylomirabilota bacterium. RNAcentral describes it as "6S RNA". It matches the Rfam family "6S / SsrS RNA". From Rfam's summary of the family: E. coli 6S RNA was the first non coding RNA to be sequenced, but its function was unknown until recently. It consists of 184 nucleotides that fold into an extended hairpin structure with a large single-stranded internal bulge. The 6S RNA specifically associates with RNA polymerase holoenzyme containing the sigma70 specificity factor. Lineage: Bacteria; Methylomirabilota (SeqCode). The record is from RNAcentral.